This 293-nucleotide long non-coding RNA is filed under the name Vigna radiata. RNAcentral describes it as "long non-coding RNA (VRAD_LNC015301)". The record is from RNAcentral. Lineage: Eukaryota; Viridiplantae; Streptophyta; Magnoliopsida; Fabales; Fabaceae.
GAUGUUGUUGGGGUUUACAAUUUCAUCUUAUCCACUCUUAUAUAUCUACUCUUCUUAUUUACUUCACUUAUUUAUCUAAUUGCCAUGCAAACUUUCUAGUUUACCCUUAACCCAAUCCCUUGGUGAAAAGAGCCUAUUAUUAAUUACCGGUUUAUUAUCCCUAGCCUCCCUUAGUAACCAAUAAUGCAAUGUGAUCGGAAGCAAAUACAAUUGACCGUCCUACCCCUAUCCCUAGGCGAUAUUGGCAUAAUCAAGGAAUUUCUCACCAGUUCAUGACAUUAUCGUACCUCCCC